RNAcentral lists this ribosomal RNA (300 nucleotides) under uncultured bacterium. RNAcentral's name for it is "bacterial SSU rRNA". It matches the Rfam family "Bacterial small subunit ribosomal RNA", at positions 29 to 329 of the family's 1533-position model. The record is from RNAcentral.
AUUGAACGCUGGCGGCAUGCCUUACACAUGCAAGUCGAGCGCGAAAGGGGGGCAACCCCGAGUAGAGCGGCGGACGGGUGAGUAACACAUCGGAACGUGCCCAGUAGUGGGGGGACAACCCUCGAGAAAUCGAGGCUAAUACCGCAUACGACCCACGGGUGAAAGGCGGGGGACCGCAAGGCCUCGCGCUAUUGGAGCGGCCGAUGUCCGAUUAGCUAGUUGGCGGGGUAAGANCCCACCAAGGCGACGAUCGGUAGCUGGUCUGAGAGGACGACCAGCCACACUGGGACUGAGACACGG